RNAcentral lists this ribosomal RNA (817 nucleotides) under Salmonella enterica subsp. enterica serovar Newport. Its description in RNAcentral is "partial 23S ribosomal RNA". It matches the Rfam family "Bacterial large subunit ribosomal RNA", at positions 711 to 1530 of the family's 2925-position model. The record is from RNAcentral. Lineage: Bacteria; Pseudomonadati; Pseudomonadota; Gammaproteobacteria; Enterobacterales; Enterobacteriaceae.
AGACCCGAAACCCGGUGAUCUAGCCAUGGGCAGGUUGAAGGUUGGGUAACACUAACUGGAGGACCGAACCGACUAAUGUUGAAAAAUUAGCGGAUGACCUGUGGCUGGGGGUGAAAGGCCAAUCAAACCGGGAGAUAGCUGGUUCUCCCCGAAAGCUAUUUAGGUAGCGCCUCGUGAAUUCAUCUCCGGGGGUAGAGCACUGUUUCGGCUAGGGGGCCAUCCCGGCUUACCAACCCGAUGCAAACUGCGAAUACCGGAGAAUGUUAUCACGGGAGACACACGGCGGGUGCUAACGUCCGUCGUGAAGAGGGAAACAACCCAGACCGCCAGCUAAGGUCCCAAAGUCAUGGUUAAGUGGGAAACGAUGUGGGAAGGCCCAGACAGCCAGGAUGUUGGCUUAGAAGCAGCCAUCAUUUAAAGAAAGCGUAAUAGCUCACUGGUCGAGUCGGCCUGCGCGGAAGAUGUAACGGGGCUAAACCAUGCACCGAAGCUGCGGCAGCGACACUGUGUGUUGUUGGGUAGGGGAGCGUUCUGUAAGCCUGCGAAGGUGGCCUGUGAGGGUUGCUGGAGGUAUCAGAAGUGCGAAUGCUGACAUAAGUAACGAUAAAGCGGGUGAAAAGCCCGCUCGCCGGAAGACCAAGGGUUCCUGUCCAACGUUAAUCGGGGCAGGGUGAGUCGACCCCUAAGGCGAGGCCGAAAGGCGUAGUCGAUGGGAAACGGGUUAAUAUUCCCGUACUUGGUGUUACUGCGAAGGGGGGACGGAGAAGGCUAUGUUGGCCGGGCGACGGUUGUCCCGGUUUAAGCGUGUAGGUGUGUG